RNAcentral lists this ribosomal RNA (253 nucleotides) under uncultured bacterium. RNAcentral's name for it is "partial 16S ribosomal RNA". It matches the Rfam family "Bacterial small subunit ribosomal RNA", at positions 524 to 776 of the family's 1533-position model. The record is from RNAcentral.
UACGUAGGUGGCAAGCGUUGUCCGGAUUUAUUGGGCGUAAAGAGCUCGUAGGCGGCUUGUCGCGUCGACUGUGAAAACUUGGGGCUCAACCCCAAGCUUGCAGUCGAUACGGGCAGGCUAGAGUUCGGUAGGGGAGACUGGAAUUCCGGGUGUAGCGGUGAAAUGCGUAGAUAUCCGGAGGAACACCGGUGGCGAAGGCGGCUUCCUGGACCGACACUGACGCUGAGGCGCGAAAGCUAGGGGAGCAAACGGG